Molecule: ribosomal RNA, 497 nt
Filed under: uncultured bacterium
Lineage: Bacteria
Description: partial 16S ribosomal RNA
Rfam family: Bacterial small subunit ribosomal RNA
Source: RNAcentral
GAUGAACGCUGGCGGCGUGCCUAAUACAUGCAAGUCGAGCGAACAGAUGAGGAGCUUGCUCCUCUGACGUUAGCGGCGGACGGGUGAGUAACACGUGGAUAACCUACCUAUAAGACUGGGAUAACUUCGGGAAACCGGAGCUAAUACCGGAUAAUAUAUUGAACCGCAUGGUUCAAUAGUGAAAGACGGUUUUGCUGUCACUUAUAGAUGGAUCCGCGCCGCAUUAGCUAGUUGGUAAGGUAACGGCUUACCAAGGCAACGAUGCGUAGCCGACCUGAGAGGGUGAUCGGCCACACUGGAACUGAGACACGGUCCAGACUCCUACGGGAGGCAGCAGUAGGGAAUCUUCCGCAAUGGGCGAAAGCUUGACGGAGCAACGCCGCGUGAGUGAUGAAGGUCUUCGGAUCGUAAAACUCUGUUAUUAGGGAAGAACAAAUGUGUAAGUAACUAUGCACGUCUUGACUGUACCUAAUCAGAAAGCCACGGCUAACUACGUG